RNAcentral lists this ribosomal RNA (660 nucleotides) under uncultured bacterium. RNAcentral's name for it is "bacterial SSU rRNA". It matches the Rfam family "Bacterial small subunit ribosomal RNA", at positions 8 to 661 of the family's 1533-position model. The record is from RNAcentral.
AGAGUUUGAUCCUGGCUCAGGAUGAACGCUAGCGGCAGGCUUAAUACAUGCAAGUCGAGGGGCAGCAUGGUGUAGCAAUACACUGAUGGCGACCGGCAAACGGGUGCGGAACACGUACAGAACCUUCCUUCAAGCGGGGAAUAGCCCAGAGAAAUUUGGAUUAAUACCCCAUAGUAUAUCGAUUAGGCAUCUUUUUGAUAUUAAAGAUUUAUCACUUGAAGAUGGCUGUGCGGCUGAUUAGGUAGUUGGCGGGGUAACGGCCCACCAAGCCUACGAUCAGUAACUGGUGUGAGAGCACGACCAGUCACACGGGCACUGAGACACGGGCCCGACUCCUACGGGAGGCAGCAGUAAGGAAUAUUGGUCAAUGGACGAAAGUCUGAACCAGCCAUGCCGCGUGGAGGAUGAAGGUCCUCUGGAUUGUAAACUUCUUUUAUCUGGGACGAAAAAAGGUCUUUCUAGAUCGUCUGACGGUACCAGAUGAAUAAGCACCGGCUAACUCCGUGCCAGCAGCCGCGGUAAUACGGAGGGUGCAAGCGUUAUCCGGAUUCACUGGGUUUAAAGGGUGCGUAGGUGGGUUGGUAAGUCAGUGGUGAAAUCCCCGAGCUUAACUUGGGAACUGCCAUUGAUACUAUCAGUCUUGAAUACCGUGGAGGUCAG